GACGAGCGCUGGCGGCGUGCUUAACACAUGCAAGUCGAACGGAAAGGCCUCUUUCGGGGGGUCCUCGAGUGGCGACCGGGUGAGUACUACGUUAGUAUCCUGCCUUUGUCUUUGGGAUAGCUUCAGAAACCUGGGGCUAACUCCGGACAGGAGCUCCUUCUGCUUUGGGGGGGCUGGCGAGUUACGGCGGUUGGGGUUGGGUUCGCGGCUGCUCAGCUUGUUGGUGGGGUAGGGGCUUACCAAGGCUUUGGCGGGUAGCCGGCCUGGGAGGGUGACCGGCCACAGUGGGACUGAGAUACGGCCCAGACUCCUACUGGAGGCAGCAGUGGGGAAUAUUGCACAAUGGGUGGAAGCCUGAUGCAGCAACGCCGUGUGCGGGAUGACGGCCUUCGGGUUGUAAACCGCUUUCGCUCAUGACGAAGCUUUGUGUGACGGUAGUGGGUAAAGAAGCACCGGCUAACUACGUG
This 467-nucleotide ribosomal RNA is filed under the name uncultured bacterium. Its description in RNAcentral is "partial 16S ribosomal RNA". It matches the Rfam family "Bacterial small subunit ribosomal RNA", at positions 28 to 507 of the family's 1533-position model. The record is from RNAcentral.